This 207-nucleotide long non-coding RNA is filed under the name Elaeis guineensis (African oil palm). RNAcentral describes it as "long non-coding RNA (EGUI_LNC073986)". Lineage: Eukaryota; Viridiplantae; Streptophyta; Magnoliopsida; Arecales; Arecaceae. The record is from RNAcentral.
GACUGACUGGCAGAGUAUUUGACUUGCAGAGGCAAGUGUUAGCUCUAGCCCAUCCACAGCCACAUGAGGACAUCACUGAGGUCUCAGACCUAUCUGCGGAGGCAGCCAGACUGCGAGGAGUCUUAGAGAGUGGUUUUGACUUUCUGAGGAGAGAGAUCAGGGGCUCUAGUGAGCAUGCUUCCACUCAGUUCACUGCACUGCUACAAU